AGCAUGCCUUCACUUACCCCUGCCCCAAAACUCCUAGACUACAAGAACUAAUCAAUGUCUGUGUCCACCUGGAAACAUCCAGCGAGCAAGGACUGUGGAAGCAACUGCCCUGAAAUGACCCUUCAAUCUGCAGUGAGGUUACCACAGAACUUUAGAGGUGGAAAUACUUGA
RNAcentral lists this long non-coding RNA (171 nucleotides) under Calidris pugnax (ruff). RNAcentral describes it as "lncRNA (ENSCPUG00000007275.1)". The record is from RNAcentral. Lineage: Eukaryota; Metazoa; Chordata; Aves; Charadriiformes; Scolopacidae.